AAUACAACAUCUUCAUUAGAGGUGGAAUACGCCUUGGAAGUUCCUAUUGGCUAACAUGUCAACAUCUGAGCAGACAGAAGGAUAUUCUGAGUCUUCAAGUCAUGAUGAAGUAAAGGAGGAGUCAUAUUGUGCAGGAGUUAGCAGUCCCCUGGAGGAGGCUGUAGAAUGUCCAGUGAGCUGCAAAUUUGAGUGCCAGAGUAUCUGCUGGGGUGUGGGAAGAAAAUGUUAGAUUUCUACUUAUAUUCAUUUCUCAACAAAAAUAAAUGAGAAAUUAUGAUUUAUUAA
This is a long non-coding RNA of Cercocebus atys (sooty mangabey), 285 nucleotides long. RefSeq lists it as uncharacterized. Lineage: Eukaryota; Metazoa; Chordata; Mammalia; Primates; Cercopithecidae. The transcript has 3 exons. The record is from RefSeq and is a predicted model, not a curated record.